Non-coding RNA from Poecilia reticulata (guppy), 291 nucleotides. NCBI's taxonomy places the organism in Eukaryota, Metazoa, Chordata, Actinopteri, Cyprinodontiformes, Poeciliidae. The record is from RefSeq and is a predicted model, not a curated record.
UGUUCCAGUGUGAUGUGGGAGGAUUUUCCCCCGUGUGGUUUUAUCGAGAGUUGCCAUGAGUCCCAUGUUGGUCGGAUCGCUGCUGCAGGGCUUUUCCCGUUCUCACAGAGUGGGAACCAUACAUGAAACAAAAAGGACGGGUCCAACCACAGAACCCUGAGGGAUUCCAAAACCAACCCUGGUGGAAACUGGAAUCAGUCAGCUCCUGCUCACCGCGCUCACAAGUUCCUCCGGAUCCGAACCCGCCGCUCUCAGCUCCUUGUUCAAGGCCAGAACAUCCGUAAGGUCCAC